UACGUAGGGCGCAAGCGUUGUCCGGAAUUAUUGGGCGUAAAGAGCUCGUAGGCGGCUUGUCGCGUCGGACGUGAAAGCUCGGGGCUUAACCCCGGGUCUGCGUUCGAUACGGGCAGGCUAGAGGCAGGUAGGGGAGAACGGAAUUCCCGGUGUAGCGGUGAAAUGCGCAGAUAUCUGGAGGAACACCGGUGGCGAAGGCGGCAUUCUGGACCGAAACUGACGCUGAGGCGCGAAAGCCAGGGGAGCAAACGGG
RNAcentral lists this ribosomal RNA (253 nucleotides) under uncultured bacterium. RNAcentral's name for it is "partial 16S ribosomal RNA". It matches the Rfam family "Bacterial small subunit ribosomal RNA", at positions 524 to 776 of the family's 1533-position model. The record is from RNAcentral.